RNAcentral lists this ribosomal RNA (468 nucleotides) under uncultured bacterium. RNAcentral describes it as "partial 16S ribosomal RNA". It matches the Rfam family "Bacterial small subunit ribosomal RNA", at positions 28 to 507 of the family's 1533-position model. The record is from RNAcentral.
GACGAACGCUGGCGGCGUGCUUAACACAUGCAAGUCGCACGGGAAGGCCCUGCGUUUGUGGGGGGCUACGGUGGCGAAAGACUGGGGAACCCGUGCGUGACCUGCCGUUGACUUUGGGAUAACUUCAGGAAACUGGGGCUCGUACCGGGUAGGAGAUCCUGCUGCAUGGUGGGGGUUGGACAGUUGCGGCGGAUGGGGAUGGACUCGCCGCUUAUCAGCUUGGUGGUGGGGGAGUGGCUUACCAAGGCUUUGACCGGUAGCCGGCCGGAGGGGGUGACCGGCCAGACUGGGACGGAGAUGCGGCCCACACUCAUACGGGCGGCAGGAGGGAGGAAGAAUGCAUAAUGGGCGGAAGCCUGACGGAGCAACGCCGGGUGCGGGAUGAAGGCCGUCGGGUUGGAAGCCGCCUGCGCCUGUGAGGAAGCGUGAGUGACAGUAAUGGGUAAAGAAGCACCGGCUAACUCCGUG